GAUGAAGAACGUAGCGAAAUGCGAUAAGUAAUGUGAAUUGCAGAAUUCAGUGAAUCAUCGAAUCUUUGAACGCACCUUGCACCCUUUGGCAUUCCGAAGGGUAUGCUCGUUUGAGUGUCAUUGUACUCUCACACUCUCCGAUCCUAUGGAUUCGGGGAGCGGUGGACUUGGGUGUUGCUGCCUUUCCCUGUGGCUCACCUCAAAUGCGUCAGUGCACCUCUUGGUUGGACAUAGUACGGCGUGAUAAGUGUCUUCGCCGGCACCUCGCAAGAGGGUGGCCGAUCGGGAGCUCUGCGCUUUCAAACCGUCUUCGGACAAUUUCUGACAUCUUGACCUCAAAUCGAGUAGGACUACCCGCUGAACUUAAGCAUAUCAAUAAGCGGAGG
Molecule: unclassified non-coding RNA, 386 nt
Filed under: soil metagenome
Description: partial contains 5.8S ribosomal RNA, internal transcribed spacer 2, and large subunit ribosomal RNA
Rfam family: 5.8S ribosomal RNA (bases 1-120)
Source: RNAcentral